This is a long non-coding RNA of Pollicipes pollicipes, 262 nucleotides long. RefSeq lists it as uncharacterized. Lineage: Eukaryota; Metazoa; Arthropoda; Thecostraca; Pollicipedomorpha; Pollicipedidae. The transcript has 3 exons. The record is from RefSeq and is a predicted model, not a curated record.
GCGGCGAAAGCGGCAUAUUUGAAAAUAGUUUUGAUGCACAUUGCUGGAAAAUCAAAACAUUAUAUCCGCGGCCAGGUUAGAAGUUCGCUGAAUGAUGGAGUCUGAGCCAGAGGAGGCGGGGCACUCCCACACUGGCCCAUUGUCACGUGGCCCCUUCAGCUCGAGGAAGAGCCUUGGACGAUGUCUGACGCUGCAGGCGCAGCGGGUGCCGGUCAGCUCGAUCCAGGACGGCCAGAGCGACGACGAGGACGAGCCGGACGAG